This 1471-nucleotide long non-coding RNA is filed under the name Salmo salar (Atlantic salmon). RNAcentral describes it as "lncRNA (ENSSSAG00000090341.1)". The record is from RNAcentral. Lineage: Eukaryota; Metazoa; Chordata; Actinopteri; Salmoniformes; Salmonidae.
CUGGUGGUUUAACUACAAUGUUAGCUGUAGGCCUGUCCUCUGGUCCUCCUGGUGGUUUAACUACAAUGUUAGCUGUAGGCCAGUCCUCUGGUCCUCCUGGUGGUUCAACUACAAUGUUAGCUGUAGGCCAGUCCUCUGGUCCUCCUUGUGGUUUAACUACAAUGUUAGCUGUAGGCCAGCCCUCUGGUCCUCCUGCUGUUAUAACUACAAUGUUAGCUGUAGGCCAGUCCUCUGGUCCUCCUGGUGGUUUAACUACAAUGUUAGCUGUAGACCUGUCCUCUGGUCCUCCUGGUGGUUUAACUACAAUGUUAGCUGUAGGCCAGCCCUCUGGUCCUCCUGGUGGUUUAACUACAAUGUUAGCUGUAGGCCAGUCCUCUGGUCCUCCAGGUGGUUUAACUACAAUGUUAGCUGUAGGCCAGCCCUCUGGUCCUCCUUGUGGUUUAACUACAAUGUUAGCUGUAGGCCAGCCCUCUGGUCCUCCUGCUGUUAUAACUACAAUGUUAGCUGUAGGCCUGCCCUCUGGUCCUCCUGCUGUUAUAACUACAAUGUUAGCUGUAGGCCAGCCCUCUGGUCCUCCUUGUGGUUUAACUACAAUGUUAGCUGUAGGCCAGCCCUCUGGUCCUCCUGGUAGUUUAACUACAAUGUUAGCUGUAGGCCUGCCCUCUGGUCCUCCUGGUGGUUUAACUACAAUGUUAGCUGUAGGCCAGCCCUAUGGUCCUCCUGGUGGUUAUAACUACAAUGUUAGCUGUAGGCCAGCCCUCUGGUCCUCCUGCUGUUAUAACUACAAUGUUAGCUGUAGGCCUGCCCUCUGGUCCUCCUGCUGUUAUAACUACAAUGUUAGCUGUAGGCCUGCCCUCUGGUCCUCCUGCUGUUAUAACUACAAUGUUAGCUGUAGGCCUGUCCUCUGGUCCUCCUGGUGGUUUAACUACAAUGUUAGCUGUAGGCCAGCCCUCUGGUCCUCCUGGUGUUGUAACUACAAUGUUAGCUGUAGGCCUGUCCUCUGGUCCUCCUGGUGGUUUAACUACAAUGUUAGCUGUAGGCCUGUCCUCUGGUCCUCCUGGUGGUUUAACUACAAUGUUAGCUGUAGGCCUGCCCUCUGGUCCUCCUGGUGGUUUAACUACAAUGUUAGCUGUAGGCCUGUCCUCUGGUCCUCCUGCUGUUAUAACUACAAUGUUAGCUGUAGGCCUGUCCUCUGGUCCUCCUGCUGUUAUAACUACAAUGUUAGCUGUAGGCCAGCCCUCUGGUCCUCCUGCUGUUAUAACUACAAUGUUAGCUGUAGGCCUGUCCUCUGGUCCUCCUGGUAGUUUAACUACAAUGUUAGCUGUAGGCCUGUCCUCUGGUCCUCCUGCUGUUAUAACUACAAUGUUAGCUGUAGGCCUGUCCUCUGGUCCUCCUGCUGUUAUAACUACAAUGUUAGCUGUAGGCCAGUCCUCUGGUCCUCCUGGUGGUUUAACUACAAUCUUAGCUGUAG